This 116-nucleotide non-coding RNA is filed under the name Gemmatimonadota bacterium. RNAcentral's name for it is "Gemmatimonadetes bacterium c-di-GMP sequence". It matches the Rfam family "c-di-GMP-I riboswitch aptamer". From Rfam's summary of the family: GEMM was predicted in a large-scale screen for bacterial structured RNA regulatory elements. Genes associated with GEMM are involved in a diverse array of functions, including chemotaxis regulation, signal transduction, secretion and chitin. The record is from RNAcentral. Lineage: Bacteria; Pseudomonadati; Gemmatimonadota.
CAGCGCCAAAGGCAAACCCGGUGAAAGCCGGGGGCACAAAGCCACGGGUCCUCGCCUCCUCCGCGACGCCGGCGUAGUUGACGCCACGAAGGACCCACGACCGCCGAGCUACCGCA